RNAcentral lists this unclassified non-coding RNA (332 nucleotides) under sea anemone metagenome. RNAcentral's name for it is "partial contains small subunit ribosomal RNA and internal transcribed spacer 1". The stretch from base 1 to 158 matches the Rfam family "Eukaryotic small subunit ribosomal RNA", at positions 1678 to 1831 of the family's 1831-position model. The record is from RNAcentral.
GCUACUACCGAUUGAAUGGUUUAGUGAGGACUCCUGAUUGGCGCCGCCGCCCCGGCAACGGAGCAGCGGACUGCCGAAAAGUUGUUCAAACUUGAUCAUUUAGAGGAAGUAAAAGUCGUAACAAGGUUUCUGUAGGUGAACCUGCAGAAGGAUCAUUGACCCUUCUGCAGGUUCACCGACGGCAACCAUGUUACGACUUCAUCUUGCUCUAAGUGUAAAGGUUUAAUCCACUUCCCACGGCUGCAUUAGGUUUGACCCCAACGCGUCAUAGUCCGGAGAUAGUAACUAAACAUUGAAACGGGAGAUGCGACGGGCGGUGUGUACAUUGCUGA